This 478-nucleotide ribosomal RNA is filed under the name uncultured bacterium. Its description in RNAcentral is "bacterial SSU rRNA". It matches the Rfam family "Bacterial small subunit ribosomal RNA", at positions 335 to 797 of the family's 1533-position model. The record is from RNAcentral.
ACUCCUACGGGAGGCAGCAGUGGGGAAUAUUGCACAAUGGGCGCAAGCCUGAUGCAGCCAUGCCGCGUGUAUGAAGAAGGCCUUCGGGUUGUAAAGUACUUUCAGCAGUGAGGAAGGUGGGUAUGUUAAUAGCAUACUCAUUUUGACGUUAGCUGCAGAAGAAGCACCGGCUAACUCCGUGCCAGCAGCCGCGGUAAUACGGAGGGUGCGAGCGUUAUCCGGAUUUAUUGGGUUUAAAGGGUCCGUAGGCGGGUUAAUAAGUCAGUGGUGAAAUCCCAUCGCUUAACGAUGGAACUGCCCAUUGGAUACUGUUCAGUCUUGAAUGAGGGUGCAGUGGGUUGGAAUGUGUAGUGUAGCGGGUGAAAUGCAUAGAUAUUACACAGAACACCGAUUGCGAAGGCAGAUCACUAACCCUAAAUUGCACGCUGAGGGACGAAAGCGUGGGGGAGCGAACAGGAUUAGAUAACCUGUAGGCUCU